CGCGUAGGCGGAUAGAUAAGUUAGAUGUAAAAUCCCUGGGCUUAACCUAGGAAGGUCAUUUAAAACUGUUUAUCUAGAGUGCAGUAGAGGGUAGUGGAAUUUCCGGUGUAGCGGUGAAAUGCGUAGAUAUCGGAAGGAACACCAGUGGCGAAGGCGGCUACCUGGACUGACACUGACGCUGAGGCGCGAAAGCGUGGGUAAGCAAACA
Molecule: ribosomal RNA, 208 nt
Filed under: uncultured bacterium
Lineage: Bacteria
Description: partial 16S ribosomal RNA
Rfam family: Bacterial small subunit ribosomal RNA
Source: RNAcentral